RNAcentral lists this ribosomal RNA (350 nucleotides) under Pseudo-nitzschia fraudulenta. RNAcentral describes it as "partial Bacterial large subunit ribosomal RNA". It matches the Rfam family "Bacterial large subunit ribosomal RNA", at positions 2586 to 2925 of the family's 2925-position model. Lineage: Eukaryota; Bacillariophyta; Bacillariophyceae; Bacillariales; Bacillariaceae. The record is from RNAcentral.
AAUUAAAGUGGUACGCGAGCUGGGUUCAGAACGUCGUGAGACAGUUUGGUCCCUAUCUGCCGUGGGUGUUGGAAGAACGUCGUGAGACAGUUCGGUCAACUUGAGAGGAUCUGUCCUUAGUACGAGAGGACCGGGAUGGACAUACCUCUGGUGGACCUGUCGUGGCGCCAGCCGCGCAGCAGGGUAGCUAUGUAUGGACGGGAUAAUCGCUGAAUGCAUCUAAGCGAGAAACCCACCUCAAAACCAGGUUUCCCUUGAGAGCCGUCGUAGACGACGACGUCGAUAGGCUGGGUGUGGACGCGCCGCGAGGCGUGGAGCUAACCAGUACUAAUUGCUCGAUAGGCUUGAUC